UGGGGAAUAUUGGACAAUGGGCGCAAGCCUGAUCCAGCCAUGCCGCGUGAGUGAUGAAGGCCUUAGGGUUGUAAAGCUCUUUCAGCGGGGAAGAUAAUGACGGUACCCGCAGAAGAAGCCCCGGCUAACUUCGUGCCAGCAGCCGCGGUAAUACGAAGGGGGCUAGCGUUGUUCGGAAUUACUGGGCGUAAAGGGCGUGUAGGCGGACUGUUAAGUCAGGGGUGAAAUCCCGGGGCUCAACCCCGGAACUGCCUUUGAUACUGGCGGUCUUGAGUUCGGGAGAGGUGAGUGGAAUUCCGAGUGUAGAGGUGAAAUUCGUAGAUAUUCGGAGGAACACCAGUGGCGAAGGCGGCUCACUGGCCCGAUACUGACGCUGAGGCGCGAAAGCGUGGGGAGCAAA
RNAcentral lists this ribosomal RNA (400 nucleotides) under uncultured bacterium. RNAcentral's name for it is "bacterial SSU rRNA". It matches the Rfam family "Bacterial small subunit ribosomal RNA", at positions 355 to 772 of the family's 1533-position model. The record is from RNAcentral.